This 84-nucleotide non-coding RNA is filed under the name uncultured Prevotella sp. Its description in RNAcentral is "TPP riboswitch (THI element)". The stretch from base 1 to 74 matches the Rfam family "TPP riboswitch aptamer (THI element)", at positions 9 to 90 of the family's 105-position model. Rfam says of the family: Vitamin B(1) in its active form thiamin pyrophosphate (TPP) is an essential coenzyme that is synthesised by coupling of pyrimidine and thiazole moieties in bacteria. The previously detected thiamin-regulatory element, thi box was extended, resulting in a new, highly conserved RNA secondary structure, the THI element, which is widely distributed in eubacteria and also occurs in some archaea. Lineage: Bacteria; Pseudomonadati; Bacteroidota; Bacteroidia; Bacteroidales; Prevotellaceae. The record is from RNAcentral.
UAAGGGGUGCUGCCAGAAAGGGCGGCUGAGAUGAUACCCUAAGACCUGAUCCGGGUAAUGCCGGCGUAGGGAUAAGGUUACAUA